GCCAGGCGCGGUGGCACGUGCCUGUAGUCCCAGCUACUCGGGAGGCUGAGGCGGGAGGAUCGCUUGAGCCCAGGAGUUCUGGGCUGUAGUGCGCUAUGCCGAUCGGGUGUCCACACUAAGUUCGGCAUCAAUAUGGUGACCUCCCGGGAGCGGAGGACCACCGGAUUGCCUAAGGAGGGGUGAACCGGCCCAGGUCGGAAAAAGAGCAGGUCAAAACUCCCAUGCUGAUCAGUAGUGGGAUUGCGCCUGUGAAUAGCCACAGCACUCCAGCCUGGGCAACAUAGCAGGCUCUCUCUU
Molecule: unclassified non-coding RNA, 297 nt
Organism: Callithrix jacchus (white-tufted-ear marmoset)
Lineage: Eukaryota; Metazoa; Chordata; Mammalia; Primates; Cebidae
Rfam family: Metazoan signal recognition particle RNA
About the family: The signal recognition particle (SRP) is a universally conserved ribonucleoprotein. It is involved in the co-translational targeting of proteins to membranes.
Source: Ensembl